Molecule: long non-coding RNA, 261 nt
Organism: Apus apus (common swift)
Lineage: Eukaryota; Metazoa; Chordata; Aves; Apodiformes; Apodidae
Exons: 3
Source: RefSeq, a predicted model, not a curated record
UAGGAUGGAAGACCAGAGGAAUCAUGGUGGAAUAUCACAGCCUUCUGAGGCUCUCGUUUCCAGAGCUAUCACUCUUUUCUAGGAACAGGAAGAGUUGGAAAACACUGAGGUGCUUCAUGGACAGCUGGAAGACAUCCCUCCCAGCAUGGCUAACAGAGCUGCUCUGCAAGGCAGCUGACACCAGUGUGGAAAAGUUGCAGAAAGAGAUAAUUUAAAACACAAGGGAAGUUCCAGUGCAUGAGUGUGAGGCAGAAUCACCAG